Vicugna pacos (alpaca) is the source of this 3065-nucleotide non-coding RNA. The record is from RefSeq and is a predicted model, not a curated record. Lineage: Eukaryota; Metazoa; Chordata; Mammalia; Artiodactyla; Camelidae.
GUAACAUAUGGAAUAUGGUUAUAAUAGCUGUUUAGUGUCCCUUUUGAAUAAUUUUUUAGUGUAAAGCCAUACAUGCUAUUUGUAGUUCAGUUUCUUUUCUUUAAGUGUAAAGUAUUGUGUAACAUAGGCAGAAUUACUUAAGUCAAUACAUUUUUUAAGAAUUUCACAUGUUCUGAUUCCUUCCACUGCCCAUCACCCCAUCACCUUCGCUCCUCCAAUGUUUGAGUUGUAAUCUUCAGGAAAGCCCUUUAAAAAAGAAGUUUUGCUCAGUCAGCAGUUGUCAUGUCAGUCAGUUCAUAAUUCUUUUAAAAAUUGGGCUUCUUUCAUCUCCAGUGGAACAUGGACACACUUCAAAAACUCCUCACCUGUAAUCUUUGGGAUCCAGUUUCCUCAACCAGUUUACUUUAGGACUAUUAACGUAUUUGGGGUCAGGGAAGAUAGAUCUGCCUGGUUCUGAAUUUUAGACAGUCUCUGAACAUGCAUUAAGUUCAAAUCAUGUUUACUCCUAAGCUUAUCACACCCUGGAGCAGUACUGAUUGUUGGGAUAUGCCAGCACCUAAGAUGAAAGAGCUUGUUAGGUUUCUCAUAGUUUAUUUAGCAGCUCUGCCUUGUAGUUCUUUCCCACAGAUCUAAGACGUAGUUCUGUGAGGAAAGGAAACCACAUAGUUACCCUAUGAGGCAUUUCCAACGGUGUAGGUCUACACAAAAAGCCCCAUCGAGUGUUCCUUUUUAGAAACUUGAAGUAUAGUCAGUUUACAAUGUUGCACUAAUGUCUGGUGUGCAGCGGAAUAGGUCAUUCAUCUGUAUACCCACAUAGAUUCAUAUUCAUGUUCUCUUUCAUUAUAGGCCACUACAAGUCAUUGAAUAUAGUUCCCUCUGCUGCACAGUAUAAACUUGCUUUUUAUCUCUUUUAUGUCUAGUAGUAUCUGCAAAUCUUGAAGUCCCAAUUUAUUCCUUCCCACUACCGGUAACCAUACAUUUGUUUUUAGUUCUGUUUCUGUUGAUUCAUUUUUCUGCUUAUUAUGGGUACCUUACCUCUAACGGUCCUAAUAAAAUAAUGUUGACUGGGUGGCUUAAACAAGAAAUUUAUUUUCUCAUACUUCUGGAUGCUAGAAGUCCAGGUUAAAGUUCUGGAAGAAUUUGGUUUCCCGUGGCCUUUCCUCAGUCUGUGCUUGUGGGGAGAGAGACAGAGACAGAGAGAGAGAGACAGAGAGAGAGCGAGCACACAAGCUCUAAUGUCUCCUCAUCCUCUUAGAAGGAUCCCAGUUCCAUCAGAUUAGGGCCUUACGUUUAGGACCUCAUUUAAUACUAAUUACUUCCCCAAAGGUCCAAAUACUAUCACAUUGGCGAUUAAGGCUUUAACAGGAAUAUUGGGGAGACACAAUCAUUCAGUCCACAGUAUGGGUGCUAUUUUUUUUCUUUCUUUGCAUUCCUGGUAAUUUUUAUUAGAAGUCAAACAAUACGAACUUUACUUUAUUGGGUGCCAGCUAUUUUUAUGUUCUUCUCAAUAUCCUUGAGCUUUGUUCUGGGAUGCAGUUAAGUCUUUUGGAGACAGCUUGAUAUUUUUGAAGCUUUCUUUUAAACUCUGUUAGCGCUAGACCAGAGAAACCUUUAGUUCAGGGCUCAUUUUGCUCCCCUCCUGGGGGAGUAACCUCCUUAGUGCGUCUUACAAUGUUCAGGGGACUGUGAGGUGUUGUACUCUGGCGGGAGGGAAUGUUUCUGGCCCUGCGUGAGCUCCAGGAAUUGUUCCUUCUGCUCCUUUUAGGUGGUUCUUUCUUUGGUUUCGGUAGUUUCUUCAUUCCUGUGCCCUGAUUAGUACUGGGUUGCAGAUUUUUGAAACUUUUUCUCUGUAGCGCCAUCUCCUCUGCAGGACUUUGCUCGUGUUGGAAGAUUUGAAAACCUUGAAAGUGGCUGAAGAAACAAAACACAAGAGUCACCUGGAAACCAGCACCUGGGAAAGUCAUCAGCUACAGUGUUGUCUAUCAGCCCCAUGGGGGCAGGAGACAGCUGGUGGGCCAAAGUGCCACCCACAGUCACCUCCACAGUGUUAAAGCGGCUUCAGCCCCAGACCACAUACGACAUCACAGUUCUCGCAGAUUACAAGAGAGAAGAGGGGAAGCUUAGGCAAGUAUCAGGCACGACAGAUAUUUUGAAUUCACCUUACUAUUAUAGGGCACUUAAAUGCUCAGAGAGACAAGAAGAGCUUGCUGCAGGCUGUGGCAAACUUACCUCACAAAGGAGGCAGGGCCCUCACAGACAUGGCUUUGAACUUCAUUCACCAACAGAGCUUCAAGACCCAAGCUGGCAUGAGGCGUCAAGCUCGAAAAAUUGAUGUUCUCAUCACUGAUGACGUUGAGACCCCAUCAAAGCAACUCAAGGAUGAAGGUGUGGAGCCGUUUGCUGUUGGUAUUAAAAAUGCUGGUGAAGCUAAGUUAAAAGAUGACUGCAGCAGACCCCGAUGAUCCCCACACAUGCAACUGGCAGAUUUUGCGUCCCUCUCCAGGAUCCUGGAUGACCUCACCCUCAACUUGUGUAACAGCGUCAGAAGUCCAGUGUGCCGGUCCAGCAAAAGCCCCUGGGUCUGUCUGACUUCUUCAGGUGUCCACUGUGGAAGGUGGGUGACAUACUUAUUCUUACUUUGCUAUCCAACUUGCUUUUUUCAAUUUACCUUAAGCUUUAUGUCAAAGUUUUACUGAUUUGGGUUUAUUUAGCACCACUGCUUAAUCAUAGUGUGUACGUAAUUCUCUGUAGGGCUUCCCUCUCCUAACAGAAUCCCUGUUCGGUGAUGGAACUGAGGAAAAUCUGGAGGGGGGACCCCUUUUUUGUUGGUACUCAGAAGAAUUAAUUUGAUGAUAAAGACAAUCUACUAGUAAUAUGUGACAGUCUGCUAGUAAUAAAAGAUGAAAUAAGGAACUCUGAUGUCUUAUGGUUGUUUUAAGUACCUUUUAUUAGGGUAAAUUUAAGCACGCUCAGAAGUAGAGAGUAUAAUUAAUUGAACCCUGUAUUUUUACCGCCCAGCUUCAACACUUAUAAACACGUGGCCAAUUUUGUUUCACCUAUUACCU